RNAcentral lists this ribosomal RNA (253 nucleotides) under uncultured bacterium. Its description in RNAcentral is "partial 16S ribosomal RNA". It matches the Rfam family "Bacterial small subunit ribosomal RNA", at positions 524 to 776 of the family's 1533-position model. The record is from RNAcentral.
UACGUAGGUGACAAGCGUUGUCCGGAUUUACUGGGCGUAAAGAGCGCGCAGGCGGUCGUUCAAGUCGAGUGUGAAAGCCCCCGGCUCAACUGGGGAGGGUCACUCGAUACUGAUCGACUCGAAGGCAGGAGAGGGUAGUGGAAUUCCCGGCGUAGUGGUGAAAUGCGUAGAUAUCGGGAGGAACACCAGUGGCGAAGGCGACUACCUGGCCUGUUCUUGACGCUGAGGCGCGAAAGCUAGGGGAGCAAACGGG